RNAcentral lists this ribosomal RNA (451 nucleotides) under uncultured bacterium. Its description in RNAcentral is "bacterial SSU rRNA". It matches the Rfam family "Bacterial small subunit ribosomal RNA", at positions 29 to 524 of the family's 1533-position model. The record is from RNAcentral.
AGCGAACGCUGGCGGCAGGCCUAACACAUGCAAGUCGAGCGCUCGUAGCAAUACGAGAGCGGCAGACGGGAGAGUAACACGUGGGAACGUACCCUUUGGUUCGGAACAACCCAGGGAAACUUGGGCUAAUACCGGAUAAGCCCUUACGGGGAAAGAUUUAUCGCCGAAGGAUCGGCCCGCGUCUGAUUAGCUAGUUGGUGGGGUAACGGCCCACCAAGGCGACGAUCAGUAGCUGGUCUGAGAGGAUGAUCAGCCUCACUGGGACUGAGACACGGCCCAGACUCCUACGGGAGGCAGCAGUGGGGAAUAUUGGACAAUGGGCGCAAGCCUGAUCCAGCCAUGCCGCGUGGGUGAUGAAGGCCCUAGGGUUGUAAAGCCCUUUCGGCGGGAAGAUAAUGACGGUACCCGCAGAAGAAGCCCCGGCUAACUUCGUGCCAGCAGCCGCCGUAAU